Molecule: ribosomal RNA, 497 nt
Filed under: uncultured bacterium
Lineage: Bacteria
Description: partial 16S ribosomal RNA
Rfam family: Bacterial small subunit ribosomal RNA
Source: RNAcentral
GAUGAACGCUGGCGGCGUGCCUAAUACAUGCAAGUCGAGCGAACAGACGAGGAGCUUGCUCCUCUGACGUUAGCGGCGGACGGGUGAGUAACACGUGGAUAACCUACCUAUAAGACUGGGAUAACUUCGGGAAACCGGAGCUAAUACCGGAUAAUAUAUUGAACCGCAUGGUUCAAUAGUGAAAGACGGUUUUGCUGUCACUUAUAGAUGGAUCCGCGCCGCAUUAGCUAGUUGGUAAGGUAACGGCUUACCAAGGCAACGAUGCGUAGCCGACCGGAGAGGGGGAUCGGCCACACUGGAACGGGGCCGCGGUCCAGACGACUACGGGAGGCAGCAGUAGGGAAUCUUCCGCAAUGGGCGAGAGCCUGACGGAGCAACGCCGCGUGAGUGAUGAAGGUCUUCGGAUCGUAAAACUCUGUUAUUAGGGAAGAACAAAUGUGUAAGUAACUAUGCACGUCUUGACGGUACCUGAUCAGAAAGCCACGGCUAACUACGUG